Molecule: non-coding RNA, 2041 nt
Organism: Pseudonaja textilis
Lineage: Eukaryota; Metazoa; Chordata; Lepidosauria; Squamata; Elapidae
Source: RefSeq, a predicted model, not a curated record
CCAUCCUAAGCUUGUAUGCAUAUGAAGCACCCCACCCUGAGCCAGCUGCUGUUGAUGCUGACAAGAGAUCUUUUUGUGUAUGGGCUACAGUUUGUACUCAAAAUUGAAACAAUAAAGAAAACUGCUUAAGGGAUUUUUGAUUUUAAAUUGAAUGAAAUUGAAAUGAAUUGAAAUACAGCUUGGUGUCCUUGCCUUGCUUUUUGAAAUAUGGGUCACUGGCGUGCCAUUUAAAGGCCAGGAAUGGCCCUCAGCUCCAAAAGGGAUGCACCCCUCCUCGCUGUAUCAGAUUGCAAUAUCUAAGUACUCCUUUCUAUUUUCCAUUUCAAACAUUAUGGCUAUAUAAGUUAACUGACUUUUUCCUUCAUUAACUUCUGGUCAUUUCCAAUUCCUUUUAAUUGUCUGAGCUCAUCAGACUGCCAACAUGGAAAAUACAAUCUUACGCUUUAGAAACAGAAAAACCGGAAGAAAAAAACAUUGCACAUUCAAGCUGCUACAUCCAAUCCUGGAUAUAGCAUUACUAAGAACUUUUAUGGCAUACAGUCAUAGGUACCUUUCAGAGCACCUACACUUUUCAAUGAUUUUCUUAAAAUCAAGAGAAUAUUCAAAUAUAAUUUGGAACUCUGUGCUCAAAGAAUAGAGAAGCAUAUGAAUAAGCAAGUUUUAUUUUAAUGUGUGUGUAUAAUAUAUAUUUUACAGACCCUGCUGUAUAGCACUUAUUUUCAACCAACAAUGUGCUAGGCACUUCACAAUUUGAGCACCUUUUUAAAAAAAAGCACAUAAAAGAUUCAACUUUCUGGUAAAAACUCAAUACAUUUCCUCAUGGGUAUGGCAUACAAUGAAAUACAAUUAUGGUAUAUGAUAAGGCAAAUUUUCUGUAUCUCCAGAAAUAUUAGCAGUCCCUUCCAUUGAGGUUCACUUCCCUUUUUUUCUAUGAUGGAGGUAGAAUGGAACCCACCUGUGGUUCUUUUUUUCCUUAAGACAUGAUUGAUUUGAUUAUCUUCUUUUCCAACAACAGAAAUUUUUCUUCUCCUCGAUAUAUAGAGGCCAGAUGAAGCAUACCUACCAGCUGCCAUCCUGUAUUUAAUCGUAUUUCCAAACCUCAACCCAAUGCAAGUAGAAAGGAUAGUUAAGAUCUCAACAACAUCCUUCAAAAACUGAAUUUAUUCCAAAGCCUGUCUUUCUGUAGUUGGGUUUGAUUGUACCUAUCUGCAGCUCUUCCAGAGGUAUUUUGUGAGUAAAAAGCUCUUGCUUUCUCUGGCAAUUCAAAUUUCUAAAUAAAAUAAUGGGAAAAAGGUGAUUCUUGCUGCUUAGCAGAAAGGCUAGUACCUAUUAAACAGUUUCCCAGCUAGCAUGGGAAUAUUGGGAGUUGAAGUCCACAAAUUUUAAAACCUAGCAAGUUGCAGGGGUGUCAAACUCGUGGCCCAUGGGCUGGAUGCAUCACGCGCUGGCAAUGUCCACCCCCAUUUUAGCAAAGAGGGGGAAGGCAUGAUACGUAAUGUGAUGACAAUGUGACACCGCAAGUUUGACAUCCCUGCACUAUUGUGUUUUUUUAAUUCCCUUCAGGCUCCUGAGGAAAGUGGGAAAUACUUUUAAAUUAAAGACAAAGAAAAGUCAUUCGUUAUUAUAUUCCCUUCAAGAUUUAACUUAAAAAACAAAACAAAACUAUAGCUAAAGGGAAAGAAAACACAAUGUAUUUCUCCAUUGACUGGACAGUUCUUAUUUAGUAAACCAUUGGUUUUAACCUUCAUGAAUGUAAAUUCAAAUAUUAUCAGGAAUGUAUAUAAUGCUUUAGUGAGGCACAUGUUCCAUGGUUUACAUGGAGAAUUUAAAUCAAAUGAUGCUAUCUAGUCCUCAAAAAACACUUAAUGCCAAGUCCAUAUUUGCCUUUACUGAGGCUUAAAUAUGUCUUAAAUCAACAGGAUGACAAAGAUCAGGCUCUGUGUUACAUGUUUAUGUGUUAAAAUGCUAUACUCAGGUUACUCACAUUUUAAACCCAAAAUGAAAAAUUUAUUAACAGACAUUGUUGUUCCCUUCCCCCACC